AGAGUUUGAUCAUGGCUCAGGAUGAACGCUAGCGGCAGGCUUAAUACAUGCAAGUCGUGGGGCAGCGCAGUGUAGCAAUACAUGGGCGGCGACCGGCAAACGGGUGCGGAACACGUACGCAAUCUUCCCAAAACUGGUGAAUAGCCCUCCGAAAGGAGGAUUAAUACACCGUAACAUAAUGAAGUGGCAUCACUUUAUUAUUAUAGCUCCGGCGGUUUUGGAUGAGCGUGCGGCUGAUUAGGUAGUUGGCGGAGUAAUAGCCCACCAAGCCUACGAUCAGUAACUGGUGUGAGAGCACGACCAGUCACACGGGCACUGAGACACGGGCCCGACUCCUACGGGAGGCAGCAGUAAGGAAUAUUGGUCAAUGGACGCAAGUCUGAACCAGCCAUGCCGCGUGGAGGAUGAAGGCCCUCUGGGUUGUAAACUUCUUUUAUCUGGGAAGAAAUGUAUUUUUUCUAAAGUACUUGACGGUACCAGAUGAAUAAGCACCGGCUAACUCCGUGCCAGCAGCCGCGGUAAUACGGAGGGUGCAAGCGUUAUCCGGAUUCACUGGGUUUAAAGGGUGCGUAGGUGGGCAGGUAAGUCAGUGGUGAAAUCUUUGGGCUUAACCCGAAAACUGCCAUUGAUACUAUCUGUCUUGAAUGUUGUGGAGGUGAGCGGAAUAUGUCAUGUAGCGGUGAAAUGCUUAGAUAUGACAUAGAACAUCGAUUGCGAAGGCAGCUCGCUACGCAAAUAUUGACACUGAGGCACGAAAGCGUGGGGAUCAAACAGGAUUAGAUACCCCGGUAGUCC
RNAcentral lists this ribosomal RNA (795 nucleotides) under uncultured bacterium. RNAcentral describes it as "bacterial SSU rRNA". It matches the Rfam family "Bacterial small subunit ribosomal RNA", at positions 8 to 796 of the family's 1533-position model. The record is from RNAcentral.